RNAcentral lists this ribosomal RNA (400 nucleotides) under Pseudomonas sp. S15-80. Its description in RNAcentral is "bacterial SSU rRNA". The stretch from base 43 to 400 matches the Rfam family "Bacterial small subunit ribosomal RNA", at positions 39 to 412 of the family's 1533-position model. Lineage: Bacteria; Pseudomonadati; Pseudomonadota; Gammaproteobacteria; Pseudomonadales; Pseudomonadaceae. The record is from RNAcentral.
UACUGACUCAGCAGGCAGGACCUAACAUCAUCGUCGAAUCACACGUCGCGUAUAGAGCAUGUAGAGCUCCGCGUGUCUCAAUUCAGCGGCGGACGGGUGAGUAAUGCCUAGGAAUCUGCCUGGUAGUGGGGGACAACGUUUCGAAAGGAACGCUAAUACCGCAUACGUCCUACGGGAGAAAGCAGGGGACCUUCGGGCCUUGCGCUAUCAGAUGAGCCUAGGUCGGAUUAGCUAGUUGGUGGGGUAAUGGCUCACCAAGGCGACGAUCCGUAACUGGUCUGAGAGGAUGAUCAGUCACACUGGAACUGAGACACGGUCCAGACUCCUACGGGAGGCAGCAGUGGGGAAUAUUGGACAAUGGGCGAAAAGCCUGAUCCAGCCAUGCCGCGUGUGUGAAGAA